UACGGAGGGUGCAAGCGUUAUCCGGAUUUACUGGGUUUAAAGGGCGCGCAGGCGGUUAUGUAAGUCAGCGGUGAAAUCUCUAGGCUUAACCUGGAAAUUGCCGUUGAUACUAUAUAUCUUGAAUGCUGUGGAGGUAAGCGGAAUAUGUCAUGUAGCGGUGAAAUGCUUAGAUAUGACAUAGAACACCUAUUGCGAAGGCAGCUUACUACGCAGAUAUUGACGCUCAUGCACGAAAGCGUGGGGAUCAAACAGG
RNAcentral lists this ribosomal RNA (253 nucleotides) under uncultured bacterium. RNAcentral describes it as "partial 16S ribosomal RNA". It matches the Rfam family "Bacterial small subunit ribosomal RNA", at positions 524 to 776 of the family's 1533-position model. The record is from RNAcentral.